UCAAGGUGCUUUGUCUGACUGAAGCUGUGU
Molecule: non-coding RNA, 30 nt
Filed under: Rattus norvegicus (Norway rat)
Lineage: Eukaryota; Metazoa; Chordata; Mammalia; Rodentia; Muridae
Source: RNAcentral